GGCACCUUUGCUUUAAUGCAGUCCGGGUCUUCUUUAUUAUGCCUUUGUUCCAGCCCUGUGUCUCUGUCCUCAUUUUCCUCUAUAUGAAUCUUCUGAGCAACUAACUGUUUCUCCAGUUCUUUGAGGUAGUUAACUGUUGUUUCUUGUCUCAUUAGUAUUACCAAGUCAUGUGGGUUCCUCAAGUUCAUUGGUGAAUCCACCUGCUGCUGGAUCUUCCCGUCCUCCGUGACCACCCAGUGCGUGGUGGCGGCGGCGGGCCGCGUCCCCGAGGCCAGCAACGAGCACAAGCCCAGCGCCCAGCCGGAGAAGACCCACGCCCGUCCCAGCCCGCCCCACCCGGACGCCGCUGCCGCCGCCAUCUUCCCUAAUCCCGGCCUGCCCGCACCACCCGGAAC
RNAcentral lists this long non-coding RNA (395 nucleotides) under Gallus gallus (chicken). Lineage: Eukaryota; Metazoa; Chordata; Aves; Galliformes; Phasianidae. The record is from RNAcentral.